CAUCUCUACCACCACCCUGAACAAGAGACGAUAGAGGAGACGAGGUCCCUGCAGCUCACUGUGUCCAGCUGGGCCCAGGACUCUGCCUCUUGGAGUUUGGUAGCUACUUCUUGAUUUGGGCCUGGUGACCCACCUGGAAUGGGAAGGAUGUCAGCUGACCUCUCACCUCCCAUGGACAGAGAAGAAAAUGACCAGGAGUGUCAUCUCCAGAAUUAUUGGGGUCACAUAUGUCCCUUCCCAGUCCAAUGCCAUCUCCCACUAGAUCCUGUAUUAUCCAUCUACAUCAGAACCAAACUACUUCUCCAACACCCGGCAGCACUUGGCCCUGCAAGCUUAGGAUGAGAACCACUUAGUGUCCCAUUCUACUCCUCUCAUUCCCUCUUAUCCAUCUGCAGGUGAAUCUUCAAUAAAAUGCUUUUGUCAUUC
This 426-nucleotide long non-coding RNA is filed under the name Homo sapiens (human). RNAcentral describes it as "HSALNT0189239". The record is from RNAcentral. Lineage: Eukaryota; Metazoa; Chordata; Mammalia; Primates; Hominidae.